CACAGGCGCAGAAUAUUCACCAGCUAAGAAAUACUAUAUAUUAAGACACUUCAAGAUCUUCCUACAAAGAUAAAAAAAUAAUAGAUAUAAUAUAAAGAACUACAAUCAACAAAGAAGAACCAAGAAACACAGCUCCAGGGAAUAUAGACUUAAAAAGACUAAAACCCUAUAAAAGAAGAAGAAGAAUAGUCGUACUGCAGGGAAAAAAAAAACUCUUUGGAGCGUGUUCAAGAUUGGGCUUUCGUUGGAUAUAACAGACCUCUUUGAAAGAGGCUUCUCACAAUAACCCUCCAGGGAAGUGCAUCAGAGUUUCAGCCCAUACCACCAUAACAGAGGUUCAUCAUCAUCAAUCAGUAACUGUGAGCUCUUCACUAACAGCACUCCAGACAAGCGCCCAUAAUGAACAUUUUGAAGAUGAGAGGUUUACCAGCACUGAACCGCAAGAUUUUGAAAGUGGGAUCCCAAAGCCAUCCACAACAAAUAAACAGCAUUUUUCAUCUCAUAUCAAAGACAUCAUUUGGUUCUGAUAUCAAGAGCCAAGGGUUUCACAGCAUCAGAUCAUGUGGACUUUAUGUUAAUUGUAAGAACCAGUCAGUUGCAGGUAACAGAUGGCAAGGCUCUUAUGUAAAUCAGCAAACAAGGUCCUUCUUUUCUUACUUUCGUAAAAAAAAAACCUUAGAGGACCAGCAAAAGGCAGAUAAUGUAGAUACACACUAUGAUCUAGUCUAUAGUGGUAAUUCACAGUGGUAUAUUCAUUUAGCAUUAAGUUCAGUGCAUCUGUCCGGUGCUGCAGUUGGUGUGUGUUUUACAGGAGAUAAACUGGGAAUUCCAACUUUGAAUUUGAUUGAUGAAAUUAUAGCAGCUCCCCUAGAAGCUGGCUGUUUCAUUACUUUUUCAACAGUCAUAUGUUUAGCUAUUGUUCAACUUUCAAAGCAAUAUCCUUUUCGUAUUUAUUAUAGUGAACUUGAAAAUCAGUUCAUUGUUAUAUUAUCUAGUUUCAUGCCAUUUUCAACAAGAAAAGUUUUUCUCCAACCAGGGGAACUUAAACCACAGCCACCUGGACAAUUAGCUAGUUUGUUACCAUGGUCUACCCAUGUAUAUAAGGGUCCUUCACAGAACAUAUUACUUUUUUUGGACAGCUUUAAGUACCCAGUGUAUUUCAAUAUGCUUCUAGGUUAUCAAUGAAACAAUGUUCAUGAUAUUUGUUGGUAAGAUGUUGUCUAUAGAUAAAAAUUAAUAAAUUUGUGCAUAUGUAGAGCAGUUUUUGGAUUGAUUUUACAAAUAGCCUUCUUAUUUAAACAUCAACAAAUUUGUAAUUCAUGUUUGUAAUGUAUAUAUAUUUUUAGAUAUGGUGUAAAUAAUCUUUAGUAAUUAUGCCAAGCC
This is a long non-coding RNA of Penaeus indicus, 1383 nucleotides long. RefSeq lists it as uncharacterized. The transcript is spliced from 3 exons. NCBI's taxonomy places the organism in Eukaryota, Metazoa, Arthropoda, Malacostraca, Decapoda, Penaeidae. The record is from RefSeq and is a predicted model, not a curated record.